AACGCGAAGAACCUUACCUGGGCUCGAACGGCUUCGGACCAUCCUUGGAAACAGGGACUUCCCGCAAGGGACUGGAGUCGAGGUGCUGCAUGGCUGUCGUCAGCUCGUGUCGUGAGAUGUUGGGUUAAGUCCCGCAACGAGCGCAACCCUUGUCCUGUGUUGGCAUGCCGUAAGGCGCAACUCUCAGGAGACCGCCAGCGAUAAGUUGGAGGAAGGUGGGGAUGACGUCAAGUCAUCAUGGCCUUUAUGUCCAGGGCCACACACGUGCUACAAUGGGCGCCACAAAGCGUCGCGAACCCGCGAGGGGGAGCUAAUCGCAAAAAAGCGCGCUCAGUUCGGAUUGCAGUCUGCAACUCGACUGCAUGAAGCCGGAAUCGCUAGUAAUGGCGCAUCAGAACGGCGCCGUGAAUACGUUCCCGGGCCUUGUACACACCGCUAGUC
This 441-nucleotide ribosomal RNA is filed under the name uncultured bacterium. RNAcentral describes it as "bacterial SSU rRNA". It matches the Rfam family "Bacterial small subunit ribosomal RNA", at positions 958 to 1398 of the family's 1533-position model. The record is from RNAcentral.